This is a long non-coding RNA of Astatotilapia calliptera (eastern happy), 1487 nucleotides long. Lineage: Eukaryota; Metazoa; Chordata; Actinopteri; Cichliformes; Cichlidae. The record is from Ensembl.
CUACGUUUUGAGGGUAAAAUCAUACCUGUAGAGCAAACGCUGCGGACACAGCAGCAGUUUUAAAAAAGAUUUUAAGAUUAUUUUUUUUGCUCCUCUCACUCUAGCAGUUGAGCUGUCUCACUCUAGCCCCAACAUUCCGUCCCAUACACACCCAUUAUAAACUCUGAAACGGGUGAAAAAACAUCAUGAAACUUAAACUGGAACUGAAGAAAAAGUAUAAUAGAUAUUGAAAAGAUAAAUACAAGUUGAAUAGUUGAAUGUCUUGUCUUCGUUUUAAAGUUUGAAUGGUGGCUCUAUGUGAACGUAUGUUGAAGUAGUAAGAGUUUAAAAAUGAGUAAGUUGAAUGAGAAUUUGAAGGGUCUCCCCAUUGAAAUACAUGGGAAAUUUUUGUUGAAUAAAGUUGAAUAAAAUUAAAAAUAUAAAUGUUAAAAAUGAGAAAAAUACAAGCAACAGUGUCCAAAAGAAUAGGAAUCUAAUGGUGUUUGAAUGGUUUUUCUAAGUUGAACGGUUUUGAAGGAGUAGGCUUUCAAAAAACGUACGGAAUAGAUAAAAUAUAAUAACUAGAAAGUGCAUUUUCUGAAGAAACUGCAGUGUGAAUGCUUGAAUCUGAAUGUAUGCACUGAAAUGAAUUAAUUGCUGAAUUUUGAGUUAAAAAUAUUGAAUGAGAUUAAAAAAAAACAAAAAAAAAAAACGAAUUUAACCUGAAAACAAAGGUGCUGAACUGCUAAAAGCUGAAGGUUACACAGAAGAAGGAGUUGGAAAAAAACUGAAAAUGUUUUAAAUGUAAAUUAGAAAACCCUAAGAAAUGAGAAAAGAACAUUUAGAGUCAGAAAACAUCUGAAUGAAUAUUAAAAGGUCAUAUUCUUUGAAUCACUGAAUGACUCAAAUGUGAUCCCUCCACUUUGAUCCACACAGUUUAAAAAGUUUAAAUGCCUGAGCUUUGAAAGAUACGGUGUUGGAAAGAGAACAAUAAUGGCGACAAUUUGAGGGUAAAAUGAUGGCUGUAACACUGUGGACACAGCAGCAGUUGAAAGAGAAGUGCUUAAGAUGAAUCUUGGUACAGUGGCAGGCAGAGCUCGUUAAGCAGGCAGGUGUGAGCCUGGUUGCUACAGUGACUGCACCCAAUGGCUCCAUACACACGUACACAGACAUGCACCUCACUUUUGCUGCUUAAAAUGAACAGAAAAGUCAGGCCCAAACAAAUUCUUCCCAAAUGAAAAGUACAUGUCGUAUUGACAAAAUUCUUUCACCGUGAGCGACAGCCAUGUCUAGUCUACCUAAUUCUCAGUUUUCAUGCCUGUGGAGCUUAUUAUAUGGACGUGGUGACAGUGUAAAGACACCAUGCUCUUCUGAUUUUCAAACGAACCUUCUGAGCCAUUUUAACAUUAGAGUCUAUGGAAGAGUUGGAGGGAGGAGGCUGUGCAUUGGUGACAUUUAUGAAAGAACCAUAACACCUAGGACAAUAGUAAACACAUUGGAUGAAAGAG